RNAcentral lists this ribosomal RNA (559 nucleotides) under Rattus tanezumi (Oriental house rat). RNAcentral describes it as "partial large subunit ribosomal RNA". It matches the Rfam family "Bacterial large subunit ribosomal RNA", at positions 1797 to 2588 of the family's 2925-position model. Lineage: Eukaryota; Metazoa; Chordata; Mammalia; Rodentia; Muridae. The record is from RNAcentral.
CGCCUGUUUACCAAAAACAUCACCUCUAGCAUAACAAGUAUUAGAGGCAUUGCCUGCCCAGUGACUAAAGUUAAACGGCCGCGGUAUCCUGACCGUGCAAAGGUAGCAUAAUCACUUGUUCCUUAAUUAGGGACUAGAAUGAAUGGCUAAACGAGGGUUCAACUGUCUCUUACUUUCAAUCAGUGAAAUUGACCUUCCAGUGAAGAGGCUGGAAUACUACAAUAAGACGAGAAGACCCUAUGGAGCUUUAAUUUACUAGUUUAAUUUAUAUGACAACAACCUAAUGGACCAAGACAAAAUAAAUAUAAACUAAAAAAUUUCGGUUGGGGUGACCUCGGAGAAUAGAAAAUCCUCCGAAUGAUUUUAACCUAGACCCACAAGUCAAAGUAAUAUUAAUAUCUUAUUGACCCAAUUAUUGAUCAACGGACCAAGUUACCCUAGGGAUAACAGCGCAAUCCUAUUUAAGAGUCCAUAUCGACAAUUAGGGUUUACGACCUCGAUGUUGGAUCAGGACAUCCCAAUGGUGCAGAAGCUAUUAAUGGUUCGUUUGUUCAACGAU